This 499-nucleotide ribosomal RNA is filed under the name Lasius lasioides. RNAcentral describes it as "partial 16S ribosomal RNA". Lineage: Eukaryota; Metazoa; Arthropoda; Insecta; Hymenoptera; Formicidae. The record is from RNAcentral.
GGUUUUUUGAAUAUAUAUAAUUUAAGAUUAGUUCUGCUCAAUGAUUAAAAUUAUUAAAUAGCCGCAGUAUUUUGACUGUGCUAAGGUAGCAUAAUCAAUUGUUUUUUAAUUGAAAACUGGAAUGAAGGAAUUGAUGAGAUUAAAGCUGUCUGUUAUUAAAAUGUUAAAAUUUAAAUUUUAAGUAAAAAUUCUUAAAUAAAAUUAUGGGACGAGAAGACCCUAUAGAAUUUGAUAUAAUUUUUUAAAAUAUAAAUAAAAAUUUAAUAAAAUUAAUAUUUUAUUGGGAGGAUAAUUAAAUUAAAUUAACUUUAAAAUUAAUAUUAAACAUUAAUUUAUGGAAAUUUGAAUAAUUUUUUUAUUAUAAUAGGAAAAAUUAAUAGAAAAUUAAUUACCUUAGGGAUAACAGCGUAAUAUUUUUAAAAAGAUCAUAUUGAUAAAAAUGUUUGCGACCUCGAUGUUGAAUUAAAAUAAAAAUUAAAUGAAGAAGUUUAAUAUUUUA